GAUCCUGGCUCAGAUUGAACGCUGGCGGAAUGCUUUACACAUGCAAGUCGAACGGCAGCACGGGGCAACCUGGUGGCGAGUGGCGAACGGGUGAGUAAUACAUCGGAACGUGCCCAAUCGUGGGGGAUAACGUAGCGAAAGUUACGCUAAUACCGCAUACGAUCUACGGAUGAAAGCGGGGGAUCGCAAGACCUCGCGCGAGUGGAGCGGCCGGUGUCAGAUUAGGUAGUUGGUGGGGUAAAGGCUCACCAAGCCAACGAUCUGUAGCUGGUCUGAGAGGACGACCAGCCACACUGGAACUGAGACACGGUCCAGACUCCUACGGGAGGCAGCAGUGGGGAAUUUUGGACAAUGGGCGCAAGCCUGAUCCAGCCAUUCCGCGUGCAGGAUGAAGGCCUUCGGGUUGUAAACUGCUUUUGUACGGAACGAAACGGCGAGCUCUAAUACAGUUUGCUAAUGACGGUACCGUAAGAAUAAGCACCGGCUAACUACGUG
RNAcentral lists this ribosomal RNA (495 nucleotides) under uncultured bacterium. RNAcentral's name for it is "bacterial SSU rRNA". It matches the Rfam family "Bacterial small subunit ribosomal RNA", at positions 15 to 507 of the family's 1533-position model. The record is from RNAcentral.